Molecule: ribosomal RNA, 506 nt
Filed under: uncultured bacterium
Lineage: Bacteria
Description: partial 16S ribosomal RNA
Rfam family: Bacterial small subunit ribosomal RNA
Source: RNAcentral
AUUGAACGCUGGCGGCAUGCCUAACACAUGCAAGUCGGACGGUAGCACAGAGGAGCUUGCUCCUCGGGUGACGAGUGGCGGACGGGUGAGUAAUGUCUGGGGAUCUGCCCGAUAGAGGGGGAUAACCACUGGAAACGGUGGCUAAUACCGCAUAACGUCGCAAGACCAAAGAGGGGGACCUUCGGGCCUCUCACUAUCGGAUGAACCCAGAUGGGAUUAGCUAGUAGGCGGGGUAACGGCCAACCUAGGCGACGAUCCCUAGCUGGUCUGAGAGGAUGACCAGCCACACUGGAACGGGGACACGGUCCAGACUCCUACGGGAGGCAGCAGUGGGGAAUAUUGCACAAUGGGCGCAAGCCUGAUGCAGCCAUGCCGCGUGUAUGAAGAAGGCCUUCGGGUUGUAAAGUACUUUCAGCGGGGAGGAAGGCGAUGUGGUUAAUAACCGCAUUGAUUGACGUUACCCGCAGAAGAAGCACCGGCUAACUCCGUGCCAGCCGCCGCCGUAA